RNAcentral lists this transfer RNA (59 nucleotides) under Ctenophorus cristatus. RNAcentral's name for it is "tRNA-Cys". The record is from RNAcentral. Lineage: Eukaryota; Metazoa; Chordata; Lepidosauria; Squamata; Agamidae.
AGGCCUAAGGGCUGUUUAAGCCCCAAAUCCGACUUGCAAUCAAAUGUUAUUUAUAGACC